Molecule: ribosomal RNA, 1554 nt
Filed under: Listeria innocua
Lineage: Bacteria; Bacillati; Bacillota; Bacilli; Caryophanales; Listeriaceae
Description: partial 23S ribosomal RNA
Rfam family: Bacterial large subunit ribosomal RNA
Source: RNAcentral
GGUUAAGUUAGAAAGGGCGCACGGUGGAUGCCUUGGCACUAGGAGCCGAAGAAGGACGGGACUAACACCGAUAUGCUUUGGGGAGCUGUACGUAAGCGUUGAUCCAGAGAUUUCCGAAUGGGGGAACCCACUAUCUUUAGUCGGAUAGUAUCCUUACGUGAAUACAUAGCGUGAGGAAGGCAGACCCAGGGAACUGAAACAUCUAAGUACCUGGAGGAAGAGAAAGAAAAAUCGAUUUCCUGAGUAGCGGCGAGCGAAACGGAAAGAGCCCAAACCAAGAAGCUUGCUUCUUGGGGUUGUAGGACACUCUAUACGGAGUUACAAAAGAAAGUUAUAAAUGAAGCGGUCUGGAAAGGCCCGCCAAAGACGGUAACAGCCCGGUAGUUGAAAUGGCUUUCCCUCCAGAGUGGAUCCUGAGUACGGCGGAACACGUGAAAUUCCGUCGGAAUCCGGGAGGACCAUCUCCCAAGGCUAAAUACUCCCUAGUGACCGAUAGUGAACCAGUACCGUGAGGGAAAGGUGAAAAGCACCCCGGAAGGGGAGUGAAACAGUUCCUGAAACCGUGUGCCUACAAGUAGUUAGAGCCCGUUAAUGGGUGAUAGCGUGCCUUUUGUAGAAUGAACCGGCGAGUUACGAUUUGUUGCAAGGUUAAGCGGAAAAAGCGGAGCCGUAGCGAAAGCGAGUCUGAAUAGGGCGCAUAAGUAACAGGUCGUAGACCCGAAACCAGGUGAUCUACCCAUGUCCAGGAUGAAGGUAAGGUAAUACUUACUGGAGGUCCGAACCCACGCACGUUGAAAAGUGCGGGGAUGAGGUGUGGGUAGCGGAGAAAUUCCAAUCGAACUUGGAGAUAGCUGGUUCUCUCCGAAAUAGCUUUAGGGCUAGCCUCGAGGUAAAGAGUCAUGGAGGUAGAGCACUGUUUGGACUAGGGGCCCUUCUCGGGUUACCGAAUUCAGAUAAACUCCGAAUGCCAUGUACUUAUACUCGGGAGUCAGACUGCGAGUGAUAAGAUCCGUAGUCGAAAGGGAAACAGCCCAGACCACCAGUUAAGGUCCCCAAAUAUAUGUUAAGUGGAAAAGGAUGUGGGGUUGCUUAGACAACCAGGAUGUUGGCUUAGAAGCAGCCACCAUUGAAAGAGUGCGUAAUAGCUCACUGGUCGAGUGACCCCGCGCCGAAAAUGUACCGGGGCUAAACAUAUUACCGAAACUGUGGAUGAACCUCUUCGGAGGUUCGUGGUAGGAGAGCGUUCUAAGGGCGGUGAAGUCAGACCGGAAGGACUGGUGGAGCGCUUAGAAGUGAGAAUGCCGGUAUGAGUAGCGAAAGAAGGGUGAGAAUCCCUUCCACCGAAUAUCUAAGGUUUCCUGAGGAAGGCUCGUCCGCUCAGGGUUAGUCGGGACCUAAGCCGAGGCCGAUAGGCGUAGGCGAUGGACAACAGGUAGAGAUUCCUGUACCAGUGCUAAUUGUUUAACCGAUGGGGUGACACAGAAGGAUAGGGAAUCGCACGAAUGGAAAUGUGCGUCCAAGCAGUGAGUGUGAGAAGUAGGCAAAUCCGCUUCU